UUACAGAUAUAAAACCACCCACAUAACUAAUUGGAUCCAUUCCUGUCUCUAGACGCUUUGUGCUCUGGUAGUGUCUCUUGCCUAUUUUGAUGAUUUAUAUCAAAACUAAGGAGUCUACAGUUGCUUUGCUGUUCUAUGCACCUUUAGCAUUGGAUAAAGAUGUAGAUAACUGAUCUUCUACAUUUAUAAUCAUUAAUCAAGAACUGUUCUUGUUUCAGGCGCUUGUUUCCACUGUAAGGAUUAAAAAUGGCUGACACAAAAAUCAUAUUAAAUUCUAUAACUUGUGAAAUAGAGCUAAUGCAAUCACAGUUACAAGGUAGCUUAUUAUAGAUGCCUGUUAUUCUGCAGAAGUUUCAUUGCUCUAGGAGGAAGCAGAACGUUUUUCUAAGAAAUAAAAGGUAUCCUGAGCUUUCAUGAUGGCCACAAUUUUGAUUCAUGUUUGUACUCAUUUGAACUGUGUUAAGCACCUGGUUGGCUAUUUUGGCAUUAUAGAUCAAGGUUAUUGUGAGGAUAUAGACAUUGAUUCCAAUUAUUUUCUUCCUGGCUAUUUUUAUAAUAAAUUUUAAUCAAUUUAAUUACACUUAACAAUUAAAAAAAUUGUAACUUCAGUAUUCUUUGGAUUGUAAUUAUGCUUGUAAUUAUGCACUAGAGGCCAGGGGCUUUAUUUAAGGAUUUACUGUAACUAGUCUUUGUUUAUGGAAGCAUUAGUUCAAGUGUUCCUAAUCUUUUGCCAUCAAAAUCAAUACUACAUCACAAA
Molecule: long non-coding RNA, 757 nt
Organism: Amphimedon queenslandica
Lineage: Eukaryota; Metazoa; Porifera; Demospongiae; Haplosclerida; Niphatidae
Exons: 2
Source: RefSeq, a predicted model, not a curated record